UGACUUUCACUAUGGAGCUCGA
Molecule: non-coding RNA, 22 nt
Filed under: Arabidopsis thaliana (thale cress)
Lineage: Eukaryota; Viridiplantae; Streptophyta; Magnoliopsida; Brassicales; Brassicaceae
Source: RNAcentral